GAUUGGAAGAUUCAUUCUCUGGAAAGUAGAAAAGGGCAUGUUACAUACUGUUAUCACUGCCAUGACAGAAACCAUAUUGAGGAGCUGGUCCACCUGUAGGAAGAAUUGCGCUAUUGGUUGGAGCAGCACUAUUACCCAGCCAUACACCAGCACUUAGUUUGUCAUAGGGAGCAUUUCUGAGCAGUUAUGGAGACCACUAACUAUGCAGUUGUUGCAGUGAAACUUGCACCAGUGUGUUUUCUGUGGAGAUGAAGGGAUAGUGUCCAGCAAUGAAGACCCAACUCAAGAUCUGACCUUGUAAGGCCAAUAUGAAAUAUCUGUGUGGGAAAAUGGGAAAAACCUGCAGUCAGGAAUGCACGGAAAUCAUCAAAAGAACAGUGUUAAAUUAAUCUUGAAUAACUUGACAUUUAUUUUGUUUGACAUAUUUAUUCAUGGUGCAGUGAAAACAUUCUUUUUUUUCAUGGUUAUUUAAAUUUAGAAUUGAUAGGAGGGAACAUCACUAUGUAGUUUCAUGUUCAUAGUCAGAUCAAAACCCAUGUACAUGCCCAAAUGAGCAUUCGAAAAUAUCAAAAUGGUACUUGUUGUAUGUAGUGUAAGUUAAUUAACAUAAUAAACAAAAAUAUUUAAUCAA
Long non-coding RNA from Mya arenaria, 631 nucleotides. RefSeq lists it as uncharacterized. The record is from RefSeq and is a predicted model, not a curated record. NCBI's taxonomy places the organism in Eukaryota, Metazoa, Mollusca, Bivalvia, Myida, Myidae. The transcript is spliced from 2 exons.